GGGGAAUAUUGCACAAUGGGGGAAACCCUGAUGCAGCGACGCCGCGUGAGUGAAGAAGUAUUUCGGUAUGUAAAGCUCUAUCAGCAGGGACGAUAAUGACGGUACCUGACUAAGAAGCCCCGGCUAACUACGUGCCAGCAGCCGCGGUAAUACGUAGGGGGCAAGCGUUAUCCGGAUUUACUGGGUGUAAAGGGAGCGUAGACGGUGGUGUAAGUCAGAUGUGAAAACCCAGGGCUCAAUCCUGGGACUGCAUUUGAAACUAUGCCACUAGAGUGCAGGAGAGGUAAGUGGAAUUCCUAGUGUAGCGGUGAAAUGCGUAGAUAUUAGGAGGAACACCAGUGGCGAAGGCGGCUUACUGGACUGUAACUGACGUUGAGGCUCGAAAGCGUGGGGAGCAAAC
RNAcentral lists this ribosomal RNA (400 nucleotides) under uncultured bacterium. RNAcentral's name for it is "bacterial SSU rRNA". It matches the Rfam family "Bacterial small subunit ribosomal RNA", at positions 356 to 773 of the family's 1533-position model. The record is from RNAcentral.